RNAcentral lists this long non-coding RNA (1514 nucleotides) under Vulpes vulpes (red fox). Its description in RNAcentral is "lncRNA (ENSVVUG00000001448.1)". The record is from RNAcentral. Lineage: Eukaryota; Metazoa; Chordata; Mammalia; Carnivora; Canidae.
CCCCCCCUCGCCCCAACCCAAACACCCUCAGCCCCUUGCUCCUCGGCCGCGCCAGGAAUGCGGACUAAUUAGGGUCCAAUGUCUCCUUAAAGAGACAAGCUCGGCCUUGUGUAACGCGCCGAAACCCCUGUUGAGACAAGAGAGGGAGGAUCGCGCCGAUCCCACUUCGUUCGGUUCACAUCAAUUUUACGCGCCGCUGGAGCCGGCAUAAUUUUCCGUGUGAACGCAGACUCGGGCCCCUGUUCUUGCCUAGAGCAGGAGGCUGAGCCGCGAGACGCUCCCCCGGGCGGGAGGGCGCCCCUCCGCCCCCGAGGGGGCUGUGGCUGCCGUUCAGCCCGGACGUGGGGCCGGUUUCCCCGAGCAGCUCUGCGGGGACGCCCCCGAGUCGCUCGGCUCGCGGGCCCCGGGGGCGGAACCGCCGAGUCUCGAGGUGGGGCUGGAGGCCCGGGGCCAGGGUCGCCCCCUUCCCGAAGAAACUUUGCGGACCGGGAGCCCGCACCGCGCGCGCCCUAGGGCAGCGUCCACGAGGUACCAGUCGCAGGCACGGGACAGGAAACGCCCAGCAGCCCGGGGAUGCUCCUUCUCCCCGGGCCAGAGGGAGAAGACUGCCCCCUCUUUUUCCUGUUCUUUCAAGUCAAGUCUGAACCGGGCCGGGCCUCGCGGAUCACGAGAGAGGGCGGGUCGGCGACAGUGGGGAUAAGCCCCGCAAGAGCGGGGGGAUGCGGGGGCACAGGCAGGUGGAGGGCAUUUUUGGGAAAGGGGCUAAAGAGGCGAGGACCGACUCGGUGGCCAGAGGGGACGGCCCGAGGCCGACGGCGUCUUCAUCCUCAGUCCUCCUCCAGCGAGCCAGGGGUUGGAGAACUCUGUGUGGACAGUUUUCUGAUCCUCCUCGGUCCCAUGUGCCCAGUCCAAAAUGAGACGUGCGAUCUACAUGACAAAGAGAAAGAUCUCCGAAAGAUGCAGAAGGAAGCAACCCCUCUCCCAGAACAACACAGAAAGUGGGUGGGGCAUAUAGCUGCUUUUGUCUCUUCUGAUCUCUGCUAGCGCUUCUCUCUCUCUUUUUAAGUUUAUUUAAUUGUUUGUUUGUUUGUUUGUUUUUGUGAUUUCUACACCCAGCUUGGGGCCUGAACUCACCACCCAGAGGUCAAGAGUCACAUGUUCUCCCAGCUGAGCCAGCCGCGCACCCCUGUGCUUCUCUGUUUGCACUUUUCACAAAUUGCUAAGCCAAGCUGUGAAGUCAACCUUGGGACUUGUCUUAUCCCUACCACACAGUGGGGAGUUCCAGAAUUUUUAUGUGAGUGGGGCUCAGCAACAGCAGUCCUAGUGGAAGCUAGGCCUGGGGUUUCAAUCUUAAUGUGAUAUAUGCAAAGCAAGCACAUUAUUUUUUCUUAUAUGUUAUAAAUUAUGUAUUCUUCCACCAGGUAUUUAUUGAAAAAAAAUGUUUUGACCUAACAUGUGCCAAGAUAAGGGAAUUUAGCAAUAAAUUACUGUUUUUGAUUUAUUAUCUCUGAGCU